Molecule: long non-coding RNA, 3074 nt
Organism: Lolium perenne
Lineage: Eukaryota; Viridiplantae; Streptophyta; Magnoliopsida; Poales; Poaceae
Source: RefSeq, a predicted model, not a curated record
CGGUCUUGUUCUCUUUUUGUUUCUUCUACUCUAUUCUACUACAUUCUCCAAACACCCAUCCAAACACCUUCCAUCCUGUGCUUGUGUACUUGGUGAGUCGUUCAAGGAAGAAUUUUCUUUCUGAUUUCUAUACUAGCUCAUCUAUUGCUUUCCUCCUGCUUUUGAAGCAUCUUAGUUUCUAGUACACACACAAAUUCUCUUGGAACGACAGGAAUUUCAUAGAGAUAGAGGUAGAUUCAUCAGAUGCCCAUGUGAAUGAGUGAAGCUGCCAGCAUGAUCUAGCUUUGGCUCGCAGCGUGUGUUAGCUCCUGCGUGUGAAUCAUUGUUAGAUCAUGACUGACAGCAUCAUUUCUUCACAACAAUGGGCAUAUGUGUGUGCAGAUCCAAUGGGAGGGCAUGUCAUCAUUCUCUAAAUCUCUAAUACUGCAGCUGGUAACCGAAAAAUGUGUAGUACUACCACUGCAUGUAUGUGCUGUGGCAGGACCAGACAUUCAUAGUAGUAGAGAAGCAAGGGAAUGAAAUUCAUUCUAACUUUUGCACAACCAUUCUGCUUGCUUCACAAAGUAGCUAGGUACUUAAUUUGUGGGGAAUGCCAUAUAUCACUUCAUUUCGUUCACAGAUAGUCCAUAUUUGAUAUGUGUGUUCAUGGAUUUUUUAUUUUAUUUUUUGUCCCCACUAUACCACUUAACUAGUUAGUUAAUUAGCUAGGUUAGCUACUACUUUGGUGUAAAGUCACCAAAAACUAACUAUCCCUAUGUAUAUGAUGAUUAAGCAGAACCUAGUAUAUCAUAAACUCUUGGCCACAACUAACUAGCACAAUAUAUAUUAAACAAAUUAAUCUGGUUAGCUCCAUACGUGAUGAUUUGAUGAUAGGGACAUCGUGUACUGAGUUCUUACGCUCGAGUAGUUCAGCUAGUACGUAGAGCAGAAACAAAAAGAUGGAACCAAUACUAUAUGAUGAACACCAAAUACUAGUGUUUUUUCCACAUGAUUUACUUCAGCUCUAGAAAUACCUACCUAUAGCUAAAAAUACACACGUGCAUUCAUGUCCAUAUCUUCGGUAGUAGUAUAUACACAUUGUUCAAGCAAUUGCAUUGGGCUGGUAGGACAAGUCUAUUCCACUAUCUGCCUAUAUACAUUAGCGUACGUAAUUAGCUCCACUAGAUUUGGAAAUAAAAUAAGAGCUCGCUAGCUAGAUCAAGCAAGGAUCUAGACCGCCUAUGAAGCUACAUAUACAUAUAUAAAGAAACUUAGCCAGUACUACCAAGUUCUGCAACGGAAGUUACUGAUGGAUAUAUCCAUCGAUCUCGUCACUUUCACCCUUCCAGAACUGUGUCACUGCACAGCCGUUCUGCCACUCUGAGCAGCCCUCAUUUUCUCAUGCUAGCUAACAGAUCAAUUUUCUUUUUCUUUACUCAUCGUGUACAAAAUCAAAUUUCUUUGCGAUUUGUGAACAUAAUCAUUAAUAAUGCUAACAAUCAUCUUAUAAUAUUUACACUUUGUCGAAAAAAUCCAAAUGUAAUUGUUUUCAGACUUGUGUCUUCUAAUCAACUGAAAAUGAGGAAUUGAAGGGUGAACAGAUCAAUAUUUGCUCUUAUGAUUCAUUCAAACAUGACCAUUAAUAGUAAUUAAUUAUGAGCAAACAGUGUCUUCUAAUCAAGUGAAAACGAGGAAUUGAAGAGUGAACAGGAGUACAGGACUGCUUGGGUGUGUUCAGAAAAAUUUAUACAAUUUCCCUCCACGAAAUAAUUAACAAUGCAUUGGCCUUAUUUUUGGUAGACAGACGUACGAUUAAAACUCCAUAUAUAUGAAAAAUUGCUAUCAACUUAAUGUGAUGUUGACAUGCACGAGAUGGUCCCUAGCUAGCUAGUUGCUAGACGGAAUCGAUUAUAGACGGCUGAUAAACAAUUCUUGGCGCAGAAAAAAAAUGAAGGUUAAUAUACAAAUUUGGGAUCUUCGGAUGCCUUUGGUGGCAUGCCUUAAAUUUGGGACCGCAAACCAAAUUUUCUUAUUUAUAUAAUAUUUUGAUCCAGCGAAUCGACGACAUUUCGUCUCUAGCUUGCUUUGCUUGGAUCUAUUCUUUGACGCAUCUGAUGUGAUUACAACUCCUGGUAGUCCUGUGCACAUUUCAUUCACAGCUAGCCACUCGUGGUCUGGUGCAGCAGUGAUUUUCACACUUCCACAGCAGUACUAGUGGCGCCCAGUUCCAUUCUUUCUCUCCAACCUUGUCUAGUGCUUAUCCUGCUAGUACUAACAGCAACAAGUAACUAACAUUGUACGGACUAUGGAACAUCAGUGAAAAAGUAAGAGAGCAAUUCUCAGUUUCUCACUGACCGCUUGGCCUUCUAUAUAUCCCAGUCUCUUUCUGCUCUCCCCCAAUAAUUCCCACACAUCUCCAUCUCUCUCCCCGCCCCUCUCUCUAGCUCAAGUUGUUCUCUUUCUUGCUCUUCGAAGGGUAGAUCAGGUGCACCACGAGUUGGUGAAGCUGCCAGCAUGAUCUGAUGAUCGAACUCAUGGAUGAUGGGGAGGAUCGGGAUCCAUCAAUCAGGUCAUGCUGGAGUUUCAUCUGCUAGUGGGAGCACAACGAAAACCCUAAAAUCUCCAUCCAUAUGGUAUGGAUGCAUCAAUCUCGCCUGGUUCUUCUAGCUAGCCUUCCAGGAAUCCGGCCUCAAGGGUGAGAUGAUCGAGAUCCAUCUUCCUGAUCUCCAUUGAUCGAUGGCCUGCCAGGUUUGCUAAUUUCUGUAACUUCUGCAAGAAGAAGAUGAAAACUAAUCGCUCAAGUACUCCCAAAAGUAUAAUGUUCUAGAUCUAGUUAGCCAUCAAGAGGGUUUAGUUCCACAUCUAUGAUAUGGCUUGCUAAUUCAUUCAAUCUCAGCUAUAUCAUUGUGGUUACAAUAAUGAUGAUUGUUAGAGGCAUAAAAUAAUUUUGUUAGAGUACUUGAACAGCCUUAUGCAACAGAAGCGGCAUAUAUAUCUAUAUCCAUCAAUCUAGAAAAGGAGAUCAUGUUUUUGUUCCAUUGUCUGUAUCGACAACAUUGUUUAUAUUACUACAUGCAAAUGAUAUAUGUUACUAA